This 966-nucleotide unclassified non-coding RNA is filed under the name Hevea brasiliensis (rubber tree). Lineage: Eukaryota; Viridiplantae; Streptophyta; Magnoliopsida; Malpighiales; Euphorbiaceae. The record is from RNAcentral.
AUUAUGUGUCUUAUGGUACUUUUCUUUGUAUAUUUUCAUGCUAACAUAUGCAAGUUAGCUUGCUAACUUACACCAUAGCAUGCGCCUGCUUCUUGUUAGCCCAGCACUAACUAUUAGGCUUUGAAAUCCUUAAUUAUCUUCCCUGAAUUGGAUUUUUAUGGACCAUGGCUCACGUAUGUGGGCCAUAUGGGUGGAUCUAAUUUGCAUAAUAGUCAUCUUACAGGAGUGAUGCUGCAUGUAGAUCUAGUGUAAGAAAUAUGCUCCUAUUUAUGUGUAUGGUAAUGUGUAAACUCAUUAUAGACAUUUUAGAGUCACUGUACAUUUAAACUCGUUGCAUGGGCAAAAAUUUUGCUUGAAUUCCUAUGCUCUUCACCGUUCUGCUUUUGGUUUAUUAUUAGAUGAAAAAGAAUAGUAAAUAUGGAACAAACUAGAUAAAGAGUGGGAGACAGCCCAUCAAUCAUUAUUAAAAGAAGUAGAAGUCUUCCAUUAUUUGAUGAAAAGAAAUAGUAAACAUUUAGCAUAAGGUAAAUAGAUAGUGAGAGACAGCCGAUCAAUCAUUUAUUAAAAGAAGUAAAAGGACUUUCAUUAUAAUGCAUUAUGCAUGAUACAAAUGUUUGCUACUUUGCUUUUUUUAAAAAAAGAGAAAAGUUUGGUUCUGGACAUCUCUAUGUAAUGAUUGAAAUAAUAAAAAGAAAAGAAAAAAAAAUCUUCAAAUACUAGUUUCAACAGUUUACUCACCUAGAAGGUGCCUUCAAAUGUUGGGGGUAAAAAAGAAAGGGGACCUUGAGGGAAAGUAAAGAAUAUCAAAUCAGGCUCUCUAUUUUAUUUUCAGUGGAGGAAUAUCAAAUAUGGCCAAUGAUUGGUUUACCUUAUAAAUUGGCAACCUGUUUUGGACGUAGAUAAUGAGGGUAUGGUGGGAAAUUAAGAAUAAAUGGGUUUCUUAACUGAUACUUUUAUAUCUCAAAU